This 468-nucleotide ribosomal RNA is filed under the name uncultured bacterium. RNAcentral describes it as "partial 16S ribosomal RNA". It matches the Rfam family "Bacterial small subunit ribosomal RNA", at positions 28 to 507 of the family's 1533-position model. The record is from RNAcentral.
GACGAACGCUGGCGGCGUGCUUAACACAUGCAAGUCGAACGGAAAGGCCCCGCUUUUGUGGGGUGCUCGAGUGGCGAACGGGUGAGUAACACGUGAGUAACCUGCCCUUGACUUUGGGAUAACUUCAGGAAACUGGGGCUAAUACCGGAUAGGAGCUCCUGCUGCAUGGUGGGGGUGGGAAAGUUUCGGCGGUUGGGGAUGGACUCGCGGCUUAUCAGCUUGUUGGUGGGGUAGUGGCUUACCAAGGCUUUGACGGGUAGCCGGCCUGAGAGGGUGACCGGCCACAUUGGGACUGAGAUACGGCCCAGACUCCUACGGGAGGCAGCAGUGGGGAAUAUUGCACAAUGGGCGGAAGCCUGAUGCAGCAACGCCGCGUGCGGGAUGACGGCCUUCGGGUUGUAAACCGCUUUCGCCUGUGACGAAGCGUGAGUGACGGUAAUGGGUAAAGAAGCACCGGCUAACUACGUG